UAUAGGUUUCGGAAUCGGAGAGGGAGCCUGAGAGACCGCUACCAUAUCCAAGGAUAGCAGCAGGCGCGUAAAUUACCCACUGUGGACUCCACGAGGUAGUGACGAGAAAUAUCGAUGCGAAGCGUGUAUGCGUUUUGCUAUCGGAAUGAGAGCAAUGUAAAACCCUCAUCGAGGAUCAACUGGAGGGCAAGUCUGGUGCCAGCAGCCGCGGUAAUUCCAGCUCCAGAAGCAUAUGCUAAAGUUGUUGCAGUUAAAAAGCUCGUAGUUGAAUUUCUGGCAUGGGCGACCGGUGCUUUCCCUGAAUGGGGAUUGAUUGUCUGUGUUGCCUUGGCCAUCUUUUUCUUUUCUUUUUUGGUGAGAAAUCUUUCACUGUAAUCAAAGCAGAGUGUUCCAAGCAGGUCGUAUGACCGGUAUGUUUAUUAUGGGAUGAUAAGAUAGGACUUGGGUGCUAUUUUGUUGGUUUGCACGCCUGAGUAAUGGUUAAUAGGAACAGUUGGGGGUAUUCGUAUUUAGGAGCUAGAGGUGAAAUUCUUGGAUUCCGAAAGACGAACUAGAGCGAAGGCAUUACCAAGCAUGUUCAUAAUC
Molecule: ribosomal RNA, 585 nt
Filed under: Aurantiochytrium sp.
Lineage: Eukaryota; Bigyra; Thraustochytrida; Thraustochytriidae
Description: SSU rRNA
Rfam family: Eukaryotic small subunit ribosomal RNA
Source: RNAcentral